UCCAGGGUAGCCUAGUGGACAUGGCAUCUUUCCAGUAAGUGGAACACUGUGGGUUUGAUUCCCAUCCCUGGAC
Molecule: transfer RNA, 73 nt
Filed under: Cordylochernes scorpioides
Lineage: Eukaryota; Metazoa; Arthropoda; Arachnida; Pseudoscorpiones; Chernetidae
Description: tRNA-Thr
Rfam family: tRNA
About the family: Transfer RNA (tRNA) molecules are approximately 80 nucleotides in length.
Source: RNAcentral